GACGAACGCUGGCGGCGCGCUUAACACAUGCAAGUCGAACGGAAAGGCCUGCUUUCCCUUGUGGAUUGCGGGUACUCGAGUGGCGAACGGGUGAGUAACACGUGAGUGAUCUGCCCCCAACUUGGGUAUAAGCCUGGGAAACUGGGUCUAAUUCCCGAUAGGACUGCAGGGUGGUGCCUGUGGUGGAAAACGAUUUUCUAGUGGUUGGGGAUGAGCUCGCGGCCUAUCAGCUUGUUGGUGGGGUAAUGGCCUACCAAGGCGGCGACGGGUAGCCGGCCUGAGAGGGUGGACGGCCACAUUGGGACUGAGAUACGGCCCAGAAUCCUACGGGAGGCAGCAGUGGGGAAUAUUGCACAAUGGGCGGAAGCCUGAUGCAGCGACGCCGCGUGGGGGAUGACGGCCUUCGGGUGGUAAACUCCUUUCGACCGCGAGGAAGCCACCUGGUUGGAAGGGUGGUGACGGUAGUGGUAGAAGAAGCACCGGCUAACUACGUG
RNAcentral lists this ribosomal RNA (494 nucleotides) under uncultured bacterium. Its description in RNAcentral is "partial 16S ribosomal RNA". It matches the Rfam family "Bacterial small subunit ribosomal RNA", at positions 28 to 507 of the family's 1533-position model. The record is from RNAcentral.